Molecule: ribosomal RNA, 403 nt
Filed under: uncultured bacterium
Lineage: Bacteria
Description: bacterial SSU rRNA
Rfam family: Bacterial small subunit ribosomal RNA
Source: RNAcentral
GACGAACGCUGACGGUGUGCUUUAGACAUGCAAGUCGAACGAGAAAGCCCUUCGGGGUUAGUAAAGUGGCGAACGGGUGAGUAACACGUGGGCAAUCUGCCCCUCGCAGGGGGACAACCGGAGGAAACCCCGGCUAAUACCCCGUAAGUUCAAAGGGAGGCAUCUCCCCUUGAAGAAAGGUAGCUUCGGCCAUCCGGCGAGGGAUGAGCCCGCGGUGCAUUAGCUAGUUGGUGGGGUAACGGCCCACCAAGGCGACGANGCAUAGCUGGUCUGAGAGGAUGAUCAGCCACACUGGGACUGAGACACGGCCCAGACUCCUACGGGAGGCAGCAGUCGGGGAAUCUUGCGCAAUGGGCGAAAGCCUGACGCAGCAACACCGUGUGUGUGAGGAAGGCCCUCGGGU